This 484-nucleotide ribosomal RNA is filed under the name uncultured bacterium. RNAcentral's name for it is "partial 16S ribosomal RNA". It matches the Rfam family "Bacterial small subunit ribosomal RNA", at positions 30 to 507 of the family's 1533-position model. The record is from RNAcentral.
AUUGAACGCUGGCGGCAGGCCUAACACAUGCAAGUCGAGCGGAUGAAGGGAGCUUGCUCCUGGAUUCAGCGGCGGACGGGUGAGUAAUGCCUAGGAAUCUGCCUGGUAGUGGGGGAUAACGUCCGGAAACGGGCGCUAAUACCGCAUACGUCCAGAGGGCGAAAGGGGGGGAGCUUCGGACCUCCCGCUCUCACGUGAGCCUAGGUCGGAUUAGCUAGUUGGUGGGGUAAAGGCCUACCAAGGCGACGAUCCGUAACUGGUCUGAGAGGAUGAUCAGUCACACUGGAACUGAGACACGGUCCAGACUCCUACGGGAGGCAGCAGUGGGGAAUAUUGGACAAUGGGCGAAAGCCUGAUCCAGCCAUGCCGCGUGUGUGAAGAAGGUCUUCGGGUUGUAAAGCACUUUAAGUUGGGAGGAAGGGCAGUAAGUUAAUACCUUGCUGUUUUGACGUUACCAACAGAAUAAGCACCGGCUAACUUCGUG